ACGUACACUCCUGCGGGAGGCAGCAGUGGGGAAUAUUGCACAAUGGGCGCAAGCCUGAUGCAGCGACGCCGCGUGGGGGAUGAAGGCCUUCGGGUUGUAAACUCCUUUCGCUAGGGACGAAGCUUUUUUGUGACGGUACCUAGAUAAGAAGCACCGGCUAACUACGUGCCAGCAGCCGCGGUAAUACGUAGGGUGCGAGCGUUGUCCGGAAUUACUGGGCGUAAAGGGCUCGUAGGUGGUUUGUCGCGUCGUCUGUGAAAUUCUGGGGCUUAGCUCCGGGCGUGCAGGCGAUACGGGCAUAACUUGAGUGCUGUAGGGGUAACUGGAAUUCCUGGUGUAGCGGUGAAAUGCGCAGAUAUCAGGAGGAACACCGAUGGCGAAGGCAGGUUACUGGGCAGUUACUGACGCUGAGGAGCGAAAGCAUGGGUAGCGAACAGGAUUAGAAACCCUUGUAGUCCCAUG
This 462-nucleotide ribosomal RNA is filed under the name uncultured organism. RNAcentral's name for it is "partial 16S ribosomal RNA". It matches the Rfam family "Bacterial small subunit ribosomal RNA", at positions 329 to 799 of the family's 1533-position model. The record is from RNAcentral.